CUCGGAGAGCAACUUGACUUUGAAUGCAGCAUAUAAUCACCACUAACACACAGUGUGUUUGCUCUUGGCCGGGCACUAUUCCAAGUUCUUUCUGUUUUCCCAGUUUUUCUACCUGCAGACAGAGAAUUGUUCUUCUUCUGUGGAUGCCUCCGGGUCCCUUUGCCAGCCUACCUCCCUCGUAAGAACUCAGGACCACACUGACCAGCAGUGCUGACUGUAGGCAGCUCACCUUCCUCCUGACCUUGGAGACCUUGAGUACCAUGUGAGUGAUGAGCUUGUCAGACGGGGCUCUCAGCACACCCACCCAGGGG
This 311-nucleotide long non-coding RNA is filed under the name Chinchilla lanigera (long-tailed chinchilla). RNAcentral describes it as "lncRNA (ENSCLAG00000023575.1)". The record is from RNAcentral. Lineage: Eukaryota; Metazoa; Chordata; Mammalia; Rodentia; Chinchillidae.